CCCUACCAGAUGGUACGGAAUUUCGAAGGCAAGGCCGUUAGAGGCACGUGUCCGGCCGUUAGCUCGCGCUGCCGGCGAGGGGAAUUCGCGGGGAAGGAGCUGUUUAUUCCGCUGUUCUUAUCAAGCCCACACCAAGAGUGUAACACAGAGGAGACAAGGGAAGGGAUGGGGCCAGCUGCCCCAUGAUUUUCUGACCAAGGCCUUCACGUUUUGGUGGAAGAGGCCCAGAAGAGGAGAGAAGUUCUCUACCCUGAUGGCUGCUGUAAUGCCCCUGCAGCAGCCAAGAAGGUCUGGAUUCAAAUAGCAGCUGUAGUGAGUGCAGCAGGAAAUCAUCAACGCUUGUGGAUUCAAUGCAGGAAAACAUUCAAUGACCUGCUGCAUUCCGGCAAGGUGAGUAGUUUGGGUCCGCCACACAGAGCUCCAAGGGAAGGGUCAUAUUUGAUGCUGCAACUAAGGUGCUAGACAUGGCACAUACAUCUACUUAAGCAUUGAGGCUUAUAUGUGCACACAGCUCAGGUAGUUGCGCACAGAACACGUGAACGAGCACUGUGAUGCACAGAGGCAGUGAAGAGCAAUAUCCCUCCAUGCACUAUAUGAGAGGCUAACAUAAAUUCAUGUUGUCUUUGUUGACUGUCACGAGGCUAUGCCCCUUUAUUUUUACAAAUAUGACUUUUCAACUGACUGCAAAUUUUGCAACUUGAAAUGAGACAGAACAUAGGACUUAAAAAUGCAAGGCAACCUUCCAAGGAAGAGGUGAAAAAGCAAACAAGACACCCUCAGGGGAGUGUGAAGAGAGCGACAUUUCCUACAUUUCCCAGAUCCAUCGAAACUUGUCGCUGUCUAAGGAAGAGACAUUAAAAUGCGAAGUACUGGAUAAUAAAAUAACAGCUGCCACAGACAGACCGAACCCAAAACCCCUUGGGGAUGGGUGAAGUAUAACAAGCCAGGCUGCAGUCACUGAGGAGAGAUUGCAAAUGACACAGGGAAUGUCACAAAAGUUUUCAGCAGUGGAAACAGGUUGAAAAGCCACUCUCUUUUUUGGAAUAAGUGUAUUAAGUCAACUUUACUAUAAAUCUACUAGCGAACUGAGACAUUCUGCAACAUCUUCUACACCUGACCACAACCAUGAAACCAGCUAAUCCAAAUCGGCUGCAACAAGUAAAAAUCUACUCCUCAAGGGCAAUCAAAGGACAUUUAACUAUAUAUUCUUUUAACUUUUGUUUAUUUUACUCUAACUUCCCUUAUUUCUAAUACGUGUGUGCGUUUGACGUCACAUUUUUCUUUUUUUUCCCUCGGGUUUGGUAGUUAAUAAACUUGCUCUUUCUUUAACUCAG
Molecule: long non-coding RNA, 1334 nt
Organism: Carcharodon carcharias (great white shark)
Lineage: Eukaryota; Metazoa; Chordata; Chondrichthyes; Lamniformes; Lamnidae
Exons: 2
Source: RefSeq, a predicted model, not a curated record